Molecule: ribosomal RNA, 253 nt
Filed under: uncultured bacterium
Lineage: Bacteria
Description: partial 16S ribosomal RNA
Rfam family: Bacterial small subunit ribosomal RNA
Source: RNAcentral
UACGUAGGGGGCAAGCGUUAUCCGGAAUGACUGGGUGUAAAGGGAGCGUAGACGGUUGUUCAAGUCUGAUGUGAAAGCCCUCGGCUUAACUGGGGGAGUGCAUUGGAAACUGAAGGACUAGAGUAUCGGAGAGGCAAGUGGAAUUCCUAGUGUAGCGGUGAAAUGCGUAGAUAAUAGGAGGAACACCAGUGGCGAAGGCGGCUUGCUGGACGAAAACUGACGUUGAGGCUCGAAAGCGUGGGGAGCAAACAGG